AGCUCACUGCAUGGUUGGUGAUGAAAAUGUUUGAAUAAAAUAUAAACAAGAAAAUGUGCAUUUUAGCUCCAGUUUUGCAGGACUUUCGUCCCUAAAGGUGUUUCUGUGAAUGAACCUCAAGUAGAAUCGAGGUUCAGUGUAAACAACAACAGUCAACACCAGUUUUUGAAAAGGAAAUAAAGUCAGAGCAACAAAAUCACGUAAAGAACCGACCGUCAGCUUCAUCACUUCUGUUUUACCAGAAAUCCACCUGAGACCCGAGGUUCCUCCACUGAGCAGCACUUCCGUCAGGACGGAUCGGCCGGCGUGAGGACGAACGUAAUUGGACCGACAAGUGACACAUAUGUGGAAACCAGAAGAUGAUGGCGGAGACGACUCGGAUCAUGUGACCUGCACCUCACAUGCCUCCUCCAAGUACCCUCAAGCCAGAGACCAGAAAUGCAACGAUGAAGCUGCCAAAUGAGAAUUCCUUCGUUCAUCUGCACAGCUGGAUCAUCCUCAAAUCAAAGGUUUGACACAGUGUGAUCUCCUCUUUCCUCGAGAUCCAACUGGGAAUAUUUAGUGAAACUCGGAAAGUUUGCUUCAACAGCAUCAAAGAAUCAAAUCAAG
Amphiprion ocellaris (clown anemonefish) is the source of this 609-nucleotide long non-coding RNA. Lineage: Eukaryota; Metazoa; Chordata; Actinopteri; Pomacentridae. The record is from Ensembl.